GCGAACGGGUGAGUAACGCGUGAGUAACCUGCCCUAGAGUGGGGGACAACAGUUGGAAACGACUGNUAAUACCGCAUAAGCCCACGGUGCCGCAUGACACUGAGGGAAAAGGAUUUAUUCGCUUUAGGAUGGACUCGCGUCCAAUUAGCUAGUUGGUGAGGUAACGGCCCACCAAGGCGACGAUUGGUAGCCGGACUGAGAGGUUGAACGGCCACAUUGGGACUGAGACACGGCCCAGACUCCUACGGGAGGCAGCAGUGGGGGAUAUUGCACAAUGGGGGAAACCCUGAUGCAGCGACGCCGCGUGGAGGAAGAAGGUUUUCGGAUUGUAAACUCCUGUCGUUAGGGACGAUAAUGACGGUACCUAACAAGAAAGCACCGGCUAACUACGUGCCAGCAGCCGCGGUAAAACGUAGGGUGCAAGCGUUGUCCGGAAUUACUGGGUGUAAAGGGAGCGCAGGCGGGAAGACAAGUUGGAAGUGAAAACCAUGGGCUCAACCCAUGAAUUGCUUUCAAAACUGUUUUUCUUGAGUAGUGCAGAGGUAGAUGGAAUUCCCCGGUGUAGCGGUGGAAUGCGUAGAUAUCGGGAGGAACACCCAGUGGCGAAGGCGGUCUACUGGGCAC
Molecule: ribosomal RNA, 624 nt
Filed under: uncultured bacterium
Lineage: Bacteria
Description: bacterial SSU rRNA
Rfam family: Bacterial small subunit ribosomal RNA
Source: RNAcentral